This 75-nucleotide transfer RNA is filed under the name Eurypharynx pelecanoides (pelican eel). RNAcentral's name for it is "tRNA-Leu(UUR)". It matches the Rfam family "tRNA". From Rfam's summary of the family: Transfer RNA (tRNA) molecules are approximately 80 nucleotides in length. Their secondary structure includes four short double-helical elements and three loops (D, anti-codon, and T loops). Further hydrogen bonds mediate the characteristic L-shaped molecular structure. tRNAs have two regions of fundamental functional importance: the anti-codon, which is responsible for specific mRNA codon recognition, and the 3' end, to which the tRNAs corresponding amino acid is attached (by aminoacyl-tRNA synthetases). tRNAs cope with the degeneracy of the genetic code in two manners: having more than one tRNA (with a specific anti-codon) for a particular amino acid; and 'wobble' base-pairing, i.e. permitting non-standard base-pairing at the 3rd anti-codon position. The record is from RNAcentral. Lineage: Eukaryota; Metazoa; Chordata; Actinopteri; Anguilliformes; Eurypharyngidae.
AUUGAGGUGGCAGAGCCCGGUAAUUGCAGAAGACCUAAGAUCUCCUAAACAGGGGUUCAACUCCCCUCCUUAAUC